This is a small nucleolar RNA of Pteronotus mesoamericanus, 141 nucleotides long. RefSeq annotates it as small nucleolar RNA SNORD97. The record is from RefSeq and is a predicted model, not a curated record. NCBI's taxonomy places the organism in Eukaryota, Metazoa, Chordata, Mammalia, Chiroptera, Mormoopidae. The transcript has a single exon.
UUGCCCGAUGAUUAUAAAAAGAUGCGUUAAGAGGACUUAAUGCUGGAAUUCUUUACCUUCUUUUUCUCUUUUCUGUACUGUUUUUUCUUUCUUUUGUAUAUCCAGCGUCCUAUGAGCGACGAUUAUGAGAUAUGAGGGCAA